This 399-nucleotide ribosomal RNA is filed under the name uncultured bacterium. Its description in RNAcentral is "bacterial SSU rRNA". It matches the Rfam family "Bacterial small subunit ribosomal RNA", at positions 43 to 488 of the family's 1533-position model. The record is from RNAcentral.
CAGGCCUAACACAUGCAAGUCGAGCGGGCCCUUUGGGGUCAGCGGCGGACGGGUGAGUAACGCGUGGGAACGUGCCUUCUGGUCUGGAAUAACCCUGGGAAACUAGGGCUAAUACUGGAUACGCCCUUUUGGGGAAAGGUUUACUGCCGGAAGAUCGGCCCGCGUCUGAUUAGCUAGUUGGUGGGGUAACGGCCUACCAAGGCGACGAUCAGUAGCUGGUCUGAGAGGAUGAUCAGCCACACUGGGACUGAGACACGGCCCAGACUCCUACGGGAGGCAGCAGUGGGGAAUAUUGGACAAUGGGCGCAAGCCUGAUCCAGCCGUGCCGCGUAAGUGAUGAAGGCCUUAGGGUUGUAAAGCUCUUUUAUCCGGGACGAUAAUGACGGUACCGGAGGAAUA